This 497-nucleotide ribosomal RNA is filed under the name uncultured bacterium. RNAcentral's name for it is "partial 16S ribosomal RNA". It matches the Rfam family "Bacterial small subunit ribosomal RNA", at positions 28 to 507 of the family's 1533-position model. The record is from RNAcentral.
GACGAACGCUGGCGGCGUGCUUAACACAUGCAAGUCGAACGGUGAAGCGCCUUCCUUUUUGGCGGGUGGGGAGGGGUGGCGAACGGGUGAGUAACACGUGAGUAACCUGCCCCCUUCUGCUGGAUAACCGCAUGAAAGUGUCGCUAAUACGGGAUACUCUGUGUCUGUCGCAUGAUGGGUCUGUGAAAGCUUUCGCUUCGGUGUGGGAUGGGCUCGGGGUGGAUUAGCUUGUUGGUGGGGUGACGGCCUGCCAAGGCGGCGAUGAGUGGCUGGUCUGAGGGGAGGGUCAGCGACACCACAGGUGAGGCGCGGUGGAGACGACUACGACAGGCAGCAGUAGUGAGUAUUGUAGCACGGUGGGCGGAAGGCUGAUGCAGCGACGCGGCGGGGGAGAAGGAGUUCGUCUGGUUGAGAACCUCUGUCGGGAGUGAAGCAGGCCUGCCUAGUAUGUGGGUGGGUUGACGGUAGCUGGAUAAGAAGCGCCGGCUAACUACGUG